UGAAACUACAGAGCCAUCCCACUUUUAGUUCAGACAGAAACCACUCAGACAGCGUGAAGGAUGUGUGCUGCUAAAAUGACAGAAGGGAACUUGAACAUGGAAUCCUGCAAGGCCCCUCUGUUUUAGAGACAAGCUGAACCGGCCACAGGUGAAGUCAAUCUGUCCGUCCUACUUCUGCACGGCAUCCGUUUCUCAUCUGAGAACUGGCUCAAUAUAGGCACACUGGAGACAUUGGUCAAAGCUGGCUGUCGUGCUGUGGCCAUCGACCUACCAAGUUUUGGCCAGUCUAAGUCAGCAGUGGCCCCCUCUGCUGUAGGAGAGCUGGCCCCUGGUGAAUUCCUGAAGCAGACUCCGUCUCUGAUGGUCUAUGGAGACCAGGAUGCUCAGCUAGGGGAGGUUUCUCUGAACAACCUGAGGAGCCUGGCCAAUCAUAAGGUGGUGUUGAUGAAAGGAGCAGGACAUCCGUGCUAUCUGGACGACCCAGCCACGUCGCACACAGCUCUCACUGACUUUCUCAGCACGUUGUGAUGUUGUUCAGUGUCAUUGGGAUAUCUGUCCAUGGAUGCAACACUAUACGACCAACAAUUCAACGUUGAAUACCUACUAACAUUUCUUUAUAUAAAAAAAUCUACUAUGUAUGUUGUUGCUAACUUGUGGAAUAGACACUGUCUGGAAUGCGGUUUUAACCAAUCAGCAUUCAGGUUUAGACCCACCCGUUGUAUAAUAUUUGUCAAAAGCUAGUAGGGAGGAUUUCUUAUAUCAAAGACUAACUUGUGAUGUUUUGGGGACCUGUAAAUAGGUCACUGAUGAAAAUAGUGUAUGUGAACUGUGUGUUUGUAGCCUAUACAGCAGGGCUCUCCCUCUCCAACCCUGUUCCUGGAGAGCUACCGGCCUGUAGGUUUUCACUCCAACCCCAGUUGCAACUAAACUG
This is a long non-coding RNA of Coregonus clupeaformis (lake whitefish), 931 nucleotides long. RefSeq lists it as uncharacterized. The transcript has 4 exons. The record is from RefSeq and is a predicted model, not a curated record. Lineage: Eukaryota; Metazoa; Chordata; Actinopteri; Salmoniformes; Salmonidae.